CGGCUAAUAGCCGCGGCUGCCGGCCCCGCUCUGCCCCGCGGCGGUGGAGAGCGCCAGGGCGGGCUGGGCUGGGCCGGGGGAUCUUCUUGCCAAUGGGCUUUACUUCCCGCGGCGGACGGAGCUGUCGCCCCUUGUCCCUGCCUCUCCCUUACUACAAGCGGAGGGGGAAGGCAGAGGCACAAUAUGUAUCCAGCAGCCCGACUUGUCAAUGGCUCGCCUCUCCGGGCGUGGUAAAGGCAGAAAUAUGGCGGCCCGUCUCCCUCGCUCUCUCCCCAGCCCACCUCACGGCUCCCUCCGCAAAUGCAAACCUUGGGAACAUCACCCCCCAUCCCCCUGCCCGGGAUGUGCACCCCCCCAAGAGCAAGGACACAGCGAGGAGCAAGUGUAUUUUUCUCCCCCACCCCAAAUGGCCGCAAGGAACAUUGUCUUCCACAUUUAUCCUGUAGGGCAGGAUUUUUUAUUUUAUUUUUUUAAUCCCUCAUGUUUUGGGGUUGGGGGUGUUUUUUCUUUGUUUUUCUUUUUCUCCCCCCCCCCCCCCCCACAUCUGCUUUUGUCUGCCUCUGUGCAGCUUGUAACAUGGCACUUUGUUAUAGCCCUCCCUUCUCUUCUUGGACGAGAUCGUUUGGUAGCAUUGCAACAAUUCACUGGAGGGGAAAAGGGAAGGCCAAAAAACACAACAAAAACAAACCAAUCCUCUCUAUGUCUUCAGAUGGAAAUUAAAAACAUUGGGGAUAAAAGUUUCCCGGGCACCAGUUGUCACUUGCCGUGCCAGUGAGAUCUUCGGGGCUUAAUAUACACAAGAAGACAAGCAAAGACCUUUCACAUCCGUCAGAGCAAAAAAGAAAAGCAGCAAGAUACUACUCUUACUGAUAUGCUACCAUUUACACAAAUUGAUAUAUGUUUUAUCCCUGCAGUAGGGGGAUAAAAGCUACCAGAACAACUUCCUCAAAGGCUAAAAACUGCACUCUUGGUAUAAAAGGCACAGAAGGCAAUAGCACAGUGCAGCCAAGAAACAUAAGCAUGAAUCCCAGGCCACUGAAAAAAUUUGUGGCAGCUUUGGAAGACGAGUAGGUGCAUGGUAACAUGAUGGGUGGAUCUGCAACGUCACAAGUCAACUGAUCGAAAGUCCUCUGCACAGUGAGGGCACAGCUACCACAUGCAACUUCAGCCCUCAAAGACCCUGCAAUGAAGUAAUCUUCCCGCAGUGGAGGAAGUCUGACUCAGCACUCUGUAGACUUUGAUAAUCCCAUUUUAUAUGUUCACUACAGGGGACUGUAAGAGUCUCUCCAGACUCUGAAUACUACUUAUAUACCAAGAAUGUGAAAAUAACUUUUAAUUUUGUGUUUUCAAAGUUUAGUGGCCCUGUACUGUACUUUAUCUGCUUGCACCCCUCUCAUUGAUACCUGUGGAUUAUUAACAUGUAAUUUGAGGGCAGUAUAAGGUUUUAAGAGUUUAGUCUUACCCUCCAGUAUGUAUCUUGGGUAAGAACUCAUAUACGGGUAGGUAUGUGGUAACAUGAUGGGUGGAUCUACAACAUCACAGGUCAACUGAUCAAAAGUCCUUGUUUAUAAGAAUAUAAAUAUUCUUAUAAAUAGGUAGGAAUAUAAAUAUUUUCACACCACCUCAGAAAAAAGGUCCAUGUAUUUUUUCUCUUCCAGUAGCCAUUAACCGAUGGUUUAGCUGAAUAAUAAUGGUCAGUUAUGCAAUAAUACAUCUAUGGGAGAAGUUGCUUCUUAACUCUAAUCAGGAUAAUGGUUGACUUUUGUCCAGUGGCUUUAUAUCUCUUAUAGAUUUCUUUAUACUAGCCAAUGUAUCUGUGAACAAUAUACUUAUUGCCCAUCUGUGGAUAUGGAACAAUUGAACUAUUCCAAAAUGUUGCAGAUGGGAAACUGCUUACAAUUGUUGUGAGGCAUGGUGUGGACACACAUAACAAUUAAACCAUUCCAAAGGGG
Molecule: long non-coding RNA, 1952 nt
Organism: Alligator mississippiensis (American alligator)
Lineage: Eukaryota; Metazoa; Chordata; Crocodylia; Alligatoridae
Exons: 2
Source: RefSeq, a predicted model, not a curated record